RNAcentral lists this ribosomal RNA (159 nucleotides) under Syzygium jambos (rose-apple). RNAcentral describes it as "5.8S ribosomal RNA". It matches the Rfam family "5.8S ribosomal RNA". From Rfam's summary of the family: 5.8S ribosomal RNA (5.8S rRNA) is a component of the large subunit of the eukaryotic ribosome. It is transcribed by RNA polymerase I as part of the 45S precursor that also contains 18S and 28S rRNA. Functionally, it is thought that 5.8S rRNA may be involved in ribosome translocation. Lineage: Eukaryota; Viridiplantae; Streptophyta; Magnoliopsida; Myrtales; Myrtaceae. The record is from RNAcentral.
UAACGACUCUCGGCAACGGAUAUCUCGGCUCUCGCAUCGAUGAAGAACGUAGCGAACUGCGAUACUUGGUGUGAAUUGCAGAAUCCCGUGAACCAUCGAGUCUUUGAACGCAAGUUGCGCCCGAAAGCUUCGGUUGAGGGCACGUUUGCCUGGGUGUCA